GCUAAAGUGGCAGAUUAGUGUGUUGGAUUUAGGUUCCUUUUAUGGAUUUUUAUUCCUUUAGUA
RNAcentral lists this transfer RNA (63 nucleotides) under Parborlasia corrugatus (corrugated ribbon worm). RNAcentral's name for it is "tRNA-Leu". The record is from RNAcentral. Lineage: Eukaryota; Metazoa; Nemertea; Pilidiophora; Heteronemertea; Lineidae.